Molecule: long non-coding RNA, 318 nt
Organism: Erigeron canadensis
Lineage: Eukaryota; Viridiplantae; Streptophyta; Magnoliopsida; Asterales; Asteraceae
Exons: 3
Source: RefSeq, a predicted model, not a curated record
UUUUGGUGGACAUAGACCGUCAACCUUUAGCCACAAUUGAUAAUCAAAAAAAGACUACUUGGUACACAAACUUAUCAACUAUAGAAGGAUUUCUUGAUGAGGAUGAAUGGUCUUAUAUUGCCUGCAAAAAAUGCACUAGAAAGGUUGUAACCAUAGAUCCAGAACAAGAAAUUGUUGGCUCAAUUGACGAACAGUUGGUAAUCCCUUUCAGAUGUAACAAGUGCGGCGAUCACCCCCUCUCUAUCUAAGGUACAAAGUCAAUAUCAUAGUAGAAGAUGAAACAGGCUCAUUCGCUUUCACCCUCUUUGAAAGAGAUGU